AGUGAACGCUGGCGGCAUGCCUAACACAUGCAAGUCGAACGGCAGCACAGGAAGCGCUUUCUCUUACGGUUGGCGACGGGCGGAUGGGUGAGGAGUACAUCGCCAUCUACUUUGUCUUGGGGGACAACGGAGGGAAACUUACGCUAAUAGAGCAUACGAUGAACGGGUGGAAGCAGUAGUUCUUGGGACCUUUCGCGAUUCAAUGAGCCGAUGUCGGAUUAGCUAGUUGGUGAGGUAAAGGCCUACCAAGGCGACGAUGCGUAGCCGGCCUGAGAGGAUGAGCAGCCACACUGGAACUGAGACACGGCCCAGACUCCUACGGGAGGCAGCAGUGGGGAAUUUUGGACAAUGGGGGCAAGCCUGACCCAGCCACGCCGCGUGAGUGAAGAAGGUCUUCGGGUCGUAAACCGCUUUUGUUAGGGAAGAAAUAAUGUGUGAUAAACCACCGGGGGCAUGACGGUACCGAAAGAGAAAGCAACGGCUAACUACGUG
RNAcentral lists this ribosomal RNA (492 nucleotides) under uncultured bacterium. RNAcentral describes it as "partial 16S ribosomal RNA". It matches the Rfam family "Bacterial small subunit ribosomal RNA", at positions 29 to 507 of the family's 1533-position model. The record is from RNAcentral.